UACGUAGGGGGCAAGCGUUGUCCGGAAUCAUUGGGCGUAAAGCGCGUGUAGGCGGCCCGGUAAGUCCGCUGUGAAAGUCGGGGGCUCAACCCUCGAAUGCCGGUGGAUACUGUCGGGCUAGAGUGCGGAAGAGGCGAGUGGAAUUCCUGGUGUAGCGGUGAAAUGCGCAGAUAUCAGGAGGAACACCAAUUGCGAAGGCAGCUCGCUGGGACGUGACUGACGCUGAGGCGCGAAAGCGUGGGGAGCGAACAGG
RNAcentral lists this ribosomal RNA (253 nucleotides) under uncultured bacterium. RNAcentral describes it as "partial 16S ribosomal RNA". It matches the Rfam family "Bacterial small subunit ribosomal RNA", at positions 524 to 776 of the family's 1533-position model. The record is from RNAcentral.